This 201-nucleotide unclassified non-coding RNA is filed under the name uncultured Russula. RNAcentral's name for it is "sequence contains ITS1". The record is from RNAcentral. Lineage: Eukaryota; Fungi; Basidiomycota; Agaricomycetes; Russulales; Russulaceae.
UCGUACUACAGAGGUGCUCAGGUUGUCGCUGACCUUUUUGGUCGUGCACGCCUGAGUGCUCUCAAUCCAUUUCACCCUUUGUGCAUCACCGCGCGGGGUCUCUUCCUCUUGGCUUGCAUCAAGAGGGGAGGUUCGCGUUUUUCAUACAAACACCCUUCUAGUUUAGAAUGUCUUACUAUUUGCGAUAAUGCGCAAUCAAUA